CGGGAAUAUUGCGCAAUGGAGGAAACUCUGACGCAGUGACGCCGCGUAUAGGAAGAAGUUUUUCGGAAUGUAAACUAUUGUCGUUAGGGAAGAGAAAGGACGGUACCUAAGGAGGAAGCCCCGGCUAACUAU
RNAcentral lists this ribosomal RNA (132 nucleotides) under uncultured bacterium. RNAcentral describes it as "partial 16S ribosomal RNA". It matches the Rfam family "Bacterial small subunit ribosomal RNA", at positions 356 to 504 of the family's 1533-position model. The record is from RNAcentral.